RNAcentral lists this ribosomal RNA (253 nucleotides) under uncultured bacterium. RNAcentral describes it as "partial 16S ribosomal RNA". It matches the Rfam family "Bacterial small subunit ribosomal RNA", at positions 524 to 776 of the family's 1533-position model. The record is from RNAcentral.
UACGAAGGGGGCUAGCGUUGCUCGGAAUCACUGGGCGUAAAGCGCACGUAGGCGGCUUUUUAAGUCAGGGGUGAAAUCCUGGAGCUCAACUCCAGAACUGCCUUUGAUACUGAGAAGCUUGAGUCCGGGAGAGGUGAGUGGAACUGCGAGUGUAGAGGUGAAAUUCGUAGAUAUUCGCAAGAACACCAGUGGCGAAGGCGGCUCACUGGCCCGGUACUGACGCUGAGGUGCGAAAGCGUGGGGAGCGAACGGG